GACGAACCGUGCGACCGUUAUUCGGAAUCACUGGGCUUAAAGGGCGCGUAGGCGGGCCGCCAAGUCAGGGGUGAAAGCCUCCGGCUCAACCGGAGAAGUGCCUUUGAUACUGGCGGCCUAGAGGGAGGUAGGGGCCUGCGGAACUUCCGGUGGAGCGGUGAAAUGCGUAGAUAUCGGAAGGAACGCCGGUGGCGAAAGCGGCGGGCUGGACCUCUUCUGACGCUGAGGCGCGAAAGCCAGGGGAGCAAACGGG
RNAcentral lists this ribosomal RNA (253 nucleotides) under uncultured bacterium. Its description in RNAcentral is "partial 16S ribosomal RNA". It matches the Rfam family "Bacterial small subunit ribosomal RNA", at positions 524 to 776 of the family's 1533-position model. The record is from RNAcentral.